GUCGUCGUGAGACGGGGUGGGGAGCAACCGGAAGCAAAUUGUCGGUCCGCAGGAUGACGAACUCGAUUCGGCGGGGUGUUUGCGGCGAGCCUGCAACUGAAUGGCGAAGCCUGGAAAUCACCGAUCACGCUGGAGUGGUAGAUAAAGCGAUGAUCGGGCGCAUCACGUGGUUGGAGGUGGAACGACAGGAAGGUAAGG
Molecule: non-coding RNA, 198 nt
Organism: Desulfobulbaceae bacterium S3730MH12
Lineage: Bacteria; Pseudomonadati; Thermodesulfobacteriota; Desulfobulbia; Desulfobulbales; Desulfobulbaceae
Source: Rfam